GCUAACAGAAGCUUCAUAUUGCAACUUGAAUUUGUAUCUUUCAUGCUGCUUACUUCAUAGGACUGCAUCUAAGAUAUCUGGUGCAUUACCCACAUUUGGUCCAAAAAGCCAACAAUUUGGAAAAUUUGGAAGCAACUACGUUCGAUUCUACAACAUAGUGAAUGGAAUAACAGUAGCAAGAGCAAGGAAAUGAAGUCAGAGUACCGUUGACAUCAAACACCACAUCUGGUCAUCAUGAGAGCCAUCUGAUAUCACCAGCACAAUAUGACAAAUUGAUGCCAGCAGAACCGAUCUAGAAGGAGGCCAUGCAGCAACCCCAAUCAAUAAGGUGAAUAAACUCAGAUAC
This 346-nucleotide long non-coding RNA is filed under the name Linum usitatissimum (flax). RNAcentral describes it as "long non-coding RNA (LUSI_LNC001287)". Lineage: Eukaryota; Viridiplantae; Streptophyta; Magnoliopsida; Malpighiales; Linaceae. The record is from RNAcentral.